GACGAACGCUGGCGGCGUGCUUAACACAUGCAAGUCGAACGGAAAGGCCCUGCUUUUGUGGGGUGCUCGAGUGGCGAACGGGUGAGUAACACGUGAGUAACCUGCCCUUGACUUUGGGAUAACUUCAGGAAACUGGGGCUAAUACCGGAUAGGAGCUCCUGCUGCAUGGUGGGGGUUGGAAAGUUUCGGCGGUUGGGGAUGGACUCGCGGCUUAUGAGCUUGUUUGUGGGGUAGUUGCUUACCAAGGCUUUGACGGGUAGCCGGCCUGAGAGGGUGACCGGCCACAUUGGGACUGAGAUACGGCCCAGACUCCUACGGGAGGCAGCAGUGGGGAGUAUUGCACAAUGGGCGGAAGCCUGAUGCAGCAGCGCCGCGUGCGGGAUGACGGCCUUCGGGUUGUAAACCGCUUUCGCCUGUGACGAAGCGUGAGUGACGGUAAUGGGUAAAGAAGCACCGGCUAACUACGUG
Molecule: ribosomal RNA, 468 nt
Filed under: uncultured bacterium
Lineage: Bacteria
Description: partial 16S ribosomal RNA
Rfam family: Bacterial small subunit ribosomal RNA
Source: RNAcentral